Ornithorhynchus anatinus (platypus) is the source of this 700-nucleotide long non-coding RNA. RefSeq lists it as uncharacterized. The transcript is spliced from 4 exons. The record is from RefSeq and is a predicted model, not a curated record. NCBI's taxonomy places the organism in Eukaryota, Metazoa, Chordata, Mammalia, Monotremata, Ornithorhynchidae.
AAUACCAACAUUAUUAUUAUUAUUAAGAGAAAGGAGAGGCUGGGAAGGGUUUGGUAUAUCGGGCCUGCUUAUGGCGAAAUCAUGGCCGAGGGAGGAAUCUGUGGAGAGGAAAGGCUACAUCAUCCCAAAUCUAUCAUGGUGUUCUGGGAAACUGUAGCAGAAGGAGAGUCUGACCCCCAGGGUGGCCACCUCCAACCACUUGCCCCAGUGGUCCUCUCCUUCAAGCUCUUUGCCACGGCCUGCAGCGGACCCGGCUCUGGACAAGCAGACUAGAGAGCAUGUCAUUCUCGUGGUGAAGGCUUUGGUGCUCGUCAGACUCUUCCAAAUGAAAGCUCUCAAGUCGGAAACCCCGGGCUCUUGCUGUCUCCUCACCACAGCGAAAGACAUGUAGACAGACUGAACGUUCUGAGAACGAAUGAGAAAUCACAUAAACCCACUUAAGAACUUGACUCCUUCCACAAUUUCCAGAUGAUACAGUGCUCUGCACACAUGUCAUCAGGAUCCCCAGGGCAAAUACAGAGGUGAAACUAGGGGUACAUGCUUCUCCAGCGAUCGAUACCUCCACAUGGCCCAUGGCAGAAAACAUCAGAUAAUCGCUUAGUGUGAAGCUUGCCCCGGAUACGUACAGGACAACCAAUAUAGGACAACCAGCGCUUAGAACAGUGCUUAACGCGUAAUAAACGCUUAACAAAUAUCUUAA